GAUGAACGCUGGCGGCGUGCCUAAUACAUGCAAGUCGAGCGGACGGACGAGAAGCUUGCUCCUCUGCUGUUAGCGGCUGACGGGUGGGUGACACGUACAUCACCUUCUUAUUUUACUUGGAUGAUUUCGGGAAACCGGAGCUACUACCGGCUCAUAUUUUGUACCGCAUGGAUCAAAAGUGAAUGACGGUCUUGCUGUCACUUAUAGCUGGUUCCGCGCUGCAUUAGCUAGUUGGUAAGGUAACGGCUUACCAAGGCUACGAUGCGUAGCCGACCUGAGAGGAUGAUCAGCCACACUGGAACUGAGACACGGUCCAGACUCCUACGGGAGGCAGCAGUAGGGAAUAUUCGGCAAAGGGCGAAAGCCUGACCGAGCAACGCCGCGUGAGUGAUGAAGGUCUUCGGAUCGUAAAGCUCUGUUAUUAGGGAAGAACAGAAGUGUAAGAAACCCUGCACGUUCUGACGGUACCUAAACAGAAAGCAACGGCUAACUUCGUG
RNAcentral lists this ribosomal RNA (497 nucleotides) under uncultured bacterium. Its description in RNAcentral is "partial 16S ribosomal RNA". It matches the Rfam family "Bacterial small subunit ribosomal RNA", at positions 28 to 507 of the family's 1533-position model. The record is from RNAcentral.